This 467-nucleotide ribosomal RNA is filed under the name uncultured bacterium. RNAcentral describes it as "partial 16S ribosomal RNA". It matches the Rfam family "Bacterial small subunit ribosomal RNA", at positions 28 to 507 of the family's 1533-position model. The record is from RNAcentral.
GACGAACGCUGGCGGCGUGCUUAACACAUGCAAGUCGAACGGAAAGGCCCUGAGAUUGUGGGGUGCUCGAGUGGCGAACGGGGGCGUAAGACGUGAGCAACCUGCUCUAGACUUUGGGGUAAGAUCAGGAAAGUGGGGCUAAUACAGGACAGGAGCCCCCGCUGCAGGGAGGGGGGUGGAAAGUUUCGGCGGGUGGGGAUGGACUAGCGGUUUAUCGGCUUGUUGGUGGGUAGGGGCUUACCAAGGCAUUGACGGGUAGCCCGCCUGGGAGGGUGACCGGCCACCUUGGUCCUGCGGUACGGCCCAGACUCCUACGGUAGGCAGCAGUGGGGAAUAUUGCACAGUGGGCGGAAGCCUGAUGCAGCAACGCCGCGUGCGGGAUGACGUCCUUCGGGUUGUAAACCGCUUUCGCCUGUGACGAAGCGUGAGUGACGGUAAUGGGUAAAGAAGCACCGGCUAACUACGUG